UACUUUUGCCUCGAGAUUCUAAUGUGUCAGUGCCUCUGCCUCUUUCCCGUCCAUGUCCAUGGCCUCAAUCACGGCCACUUAAUCCUCUCCCUAUAGAAAUUUCACCAUGAGUUUAAGCCUUCAAGGCUUGCUUGUCUGUUGGAGUAGUCAUUUUCUACUCAGACACAAAUAAUAAAAUUUACAAUUCAUUAAUUGAAAGUUUGUCAAAGUCUUUUGACUUCUCAAUAAAACAUACAGCGUAAGAGAAUUUUAGAUCCAUUAAUCUAAGAAUCUUCUCCACCAUAAUGACAUCUUCGAUUUUUUCACCGUGAAUAUGCAUCCUAUUUAUUAUACCUCGUGUUAUUGAGAAAUACGCGUCAACAGACUCUCCG
RNAcentral lists this long non-coding RNA (371 nucleotides) under Carica papaya (papaya). RNAcentral's name for it is "long non-coding RNA (CPAP_LNC015204)". The record is from RNAcentral. Lineage: Eukaryota; Viridiplantae; Streptophyta; Magnoliopsida; Brassicales; Caricaceae.